Molecule: long non-coding RNA, 538 nt
Filed under: Cavia porcellus (domestic guinea pig)
Lineage: Eukaryota; Metazoa; Chordata; Mammalia; Rodentia; Caviidae
Description: lncRNA (ENSCPOG00000031176.1)
Source: RNAcentral
AGGAACACCCACCAAGGAUGUGAUUUGUGGCAUCUUCCUGUGUUAAUUUGAGGAAGUUGGAUAAAGCACCAAAUGCAGCAGAGCACUCCAGCCUGGAGUCAAGGACUACUCCAGCAGUCAGGAAGUCCUGCAGCCCAUCUCCGCAGACCUCCCACCUCCUCAGCCUCCUGGUCACCCGGACCACCAGGUCAUGCAGCUCUACAGAGCCACCAGCUGAAGCAAGCUGAGGCAAGUGCCAUCCUCUUGAAUCUUCAGAACUGAGCUAAAUCACCUUCUCCUUUUACAAGGUUAGCAAAAGUUAAUACUAUUCCUUGGUCUGUUUAAGCCAAUUUGAGCUGCAUUUUAUGUCACUUGUAACCAAUGGAUGCUCACUGAAUUAAAUACUAAGCUGCAUGAGGGUAGAUGCAUAAAAAUAUACACGGACUAAAUGACUGUGAAUAUCUUUGUGAAACAGUCCCCGACUGAAACUGAAGAGAUAGUAUGAGGAGCAGUUCACAGGGAAAAAACUAGACUGAGGUGAGGGCUUGAGAAACAGUCA